Molecule: ribosomal RNA, 579 nt
Filed under: Colletotrichum fructicola
Lineage: Eukaryota; Fungi; Ascomycota; Sordariomycetes; Glomerellales; Glomerellaceae
Description: eukaryotic LSU rRNA
Rfam family: 5.8S ribosomal RNA (bases 216-369)
Source: RNAcentral
UCGUAACAAGGUCUCCGUUGGUGAACCAGCGGAGGGAUCAUUACUGAGUUUACGCUCUAUAACCCUUUGUGAACAUACCUAUAACUGUUGCUUCGGCGGGUAGGGUCUCCGCGACCCUCCCGGCCUCCCGCCUCCGGGCGGGUCGGCGCCCGCCGGAGGAUAACCAAACUCUGAUUUAACGACGUUUCUUCUGAGUGGUACAAGCAAAUAAUCAAAACUUUUAACAACGGAUCUCUUGGUUCUGGCAUCGAUGAAGAACGCAGCGAAAUGCGAUAAGUAAUGUGAAUUGCAGAAUUCAGUGAAUCAUCGAAUCUUUGAACGCACAUUGCGCCCGCCAGCAUUCUGGCGGGCAUGCCUGUUCGAGCGUCAUUUCAACCCUCAAGCUCUGCUUGGUGUUGGGGCCCUACAGCUGAUGUAGGCCCUCAAAGGUAGUGGCGGACCCUCCCGGAGCCUCCUUUGCGUAGUAACUUUACGUCUCGCACUGGGAUCCGGAGGGACUCUUGCCGUAAAACCCCCCAAUUUUCCAAAGGUUGACCUCGGAUCAGGUAGGAAUACCCGCUGAACUUAAGCAUAUCAAAA